AUACCUGGCUUUUUACAUGUCUUAAUUCAUUUAACCCACAUAACCACCCUUGGAGGUAGGCACCAUUUAUUAUCUCCAUUUUAUAGAUGAGAAUACUGAGGCACGAGAAGUGAAGCAACUGUCCAAGGCCACACAGUAAGAGGCUAAGCUCCAUGUCAACCCAGCAGCAGGCUCCAGGGCCCAUGCUCCUAGACUGUGCUUGUGAAAUUUUGUGCCAGCAGCAUCGGGAAACGAAGCAAGCUGCCAUGUUGUGAGCUACCUGUAGAAAGGGCCAUCUGGGAAGAUACUAAAGUACCAAUCAACACCGAGCAAGAAACUGAGGCCCCAGCCACAAAACCUGGAAGGGACUGAAUUCUGCCAACAACCACAUGAGCUUGGGAGAAGAUCCUUCCCCAGUCAAGCCCUCAAUGAGGCGUCAGCCCUGCCCAACACCUUGAUUGCAGCCUUGCAGAGGACUCAGCCAAGCCAUGCCCAGGCUCCUGUGAGAAACUGAGGCAAUAAAUGUGUAUUGUUUUAA
This is a long non-coding RNA of Galeopterus variegatus (Sunda flying lemur), 517 nucleotides long. RefSeq lists it as uncharacterized. The record is from RefSeq and is a predicted model, not a curated record. Lineage: Eukaryota; Metazoa; Chordata; Mammalia; Dermoptera; Cynocephalidae. The transcript has 2 exons.